CCUACGGGAGGCAGCAGUGGGGAAUAUUGCACAAUGGUGGAAACCCUGAUGCAGCGACGCCGCGUGAGUGAAGAAGUAAUACGUUAUGUUAAGCUCUAUCAGCCGGGAAGAAAAUGACGGUACCUGAGUAAGAAGCCCCGGCUAACUACGUGCCAGCUGCCGUGGUAAUACGGAGGGGGCAAGCGUUAUCCGGAUUUACUGGGUGUAAAGGGAGCGUAGACGGCAGUGCAAGUCUGGAGUGAAAGGCGGGGGGUCAACCCCCGGACUGCUCUGGAAACUGUACGGCUGGAGUGCAGGAGAGGUAUGUGGAAUUCCUGGUGUAGCGGUGAAAUGCGUAGAUAUUAGGCGGAACACCAGUGGCGAAGGCGGCUUACUGGACUGUAACUGACGUUGAGGCUCGAAAGCGUGGGGAGCGAACAGGAUUAGAUACCCGUGUAGUC
RNAcentral lists this ribosomal RNA (440 nucleotides) under uncultured bacterium. Its description in RNAcentral is "partial 16S ribosomal RNA". It matches the Rfam family "Bacterial small subunit ribosomal RNA", at positions 338 to 795 of the family's 1533-position model. The record is from RNAcentral.